GCUAGGAAGAGGAAGAAAGAGAGGGCCUAAGAGCGGUGGGAAUGAGAACAUAGAGGAAAUCCUAACUUAUUGAUUCUUCAUCACUUGUGUUGUGAUGGAAAUUUUGUUUGGUAUUUCCCGAUGCCUCUCAUUCCUAUCGUUCUUAUGCACUCCUUCCUCUUCCUUCUUGUU
Molecule: non-coding RNA, 171 nt
Organism: Triticum aestivum (bread wheat)
Lineage: Eukaryota; Viridiplantae; Streptophyta; Magnoliopsida; Poales; Poaceae
Source: Rfam